Molecule: long non-coding RNA, 839 nt
Filed under: Junco hyemalis (dark-eyed junco)
Lineage: Eukaryota; Metazoa; Chordata; Aves; Passeriformes; Passerellidae
Description: lncRNA (ENSJHYG00000014214.1)
Source: RNAcentral
AAGCUUGGGUCCUUGCUGAAGCAGAAACUUGCUCCAACUAUUCUAUUGGAUUUCUUGUUUCUUGAAAGAAAAAGCAAACGUGGACUUCACACCUGGCUCGGAGCCUGCUGAUACAAGAAAGUCAAGGGUAGCUGAGUGUUUAUGGGAACAACUUCAAUGUCCUACAGCUGGAUCAGCCCUUCCCUUCUGUCCCCAGACUUCAGUCCAGGAGGACCACAAGUGGAGGGACAGCCUGGGGAGCCCCAGCAAGAGUUGAGGCACUUCUAACCCUGAGGCAGAAAAUGUGCCAGACAGGAGAGCCCUGCACUGCCCACCACCAUGCCUGGUUUAGGGAGAAGCUGGAGUUUCAUUUGCCAUCAAAACAUGACCCCUGCUGGAGGACCAAGGAUGUGACUUUCAGUUAUUCUUAUGGACAACCCCACACAGAGAAUGGCACAAAUGUGAUUAAUGUGAUAUGAUACAGCUGUCACUGGCUGCAGGAAAUCACAGUCAACUAAAAAACGGUUGGCUUAAGAAGACUUCUUAUUCACCCAGCUGUAAAGGUAAAAAAGUUUUUCUGGAUAUUGUUUUUUGGUAGGUUGAUUGUGAUUUGGGUUUUAUUUUUGGGGCUUUUUUCAUGCAUGUGAUUGUGUUUUACAGAAUUUCGGGAACCAGUGAGCUUUCCUGCAGAGCUCUGUGUGUGUAAUUUUUUUUUUUAAUGGGGGUUCUGGAAAUCAAAUCUUCUGGCAGAAAGUUCUCCAAACACUCAUAGUAGCAGCAGUGCAUUUGAGGAUGUAGUUUGUUCCUAGAUUUAUACCAGCCUGACAUUUUCCCAAUGGCAAAAUAUUUAAAUAAAAACA